Molecule: long non-coding RNA, 749 nt
Organism: Alligator sinensis (Chinese alligator)
Lineage: Eukaryota; Metazoa; Chordata; Crocodylia; Alligatoridae
Exons: 5
Source: RefSeq, a predicted model, not a curated record
GCUCGGCGAGGUUUCUUCAGCAUCCUCCAGGUUCACGUGAAGAGAGAAAGAAAGAGAAUGAAAACACAAAGUGAUCACUCAAGUGCCACGUGAUGUACUUCGAACACCGAGAUGGAAUUAUAUCCUUGUAAAUUGCUAUGGCUCAUUCAUCACCUUCUGCUCCUUGAAUCCUUCACCAGCUGCUCAACUGUAGACUAAACAAGCAACGUGGAGCUGAAAAAGAAGUUUGCUAAAGGGCAGCUGCUGCAGCAUUUUGAAGGCAGAGAACAAAGUAUUGGAUACCAUAAGAACCGAUUCUCACAUAUUCACUUGCCUACAAAAAGCAGGGCUUUAAGAGAACACCCUCAAUAUCCUGGGACUCACAAGAGAGACGGCAAGACUGUUCUAGCUGGAGUUCCAGCAGCAUCAGAGGGAAAUCCUUCUGUGUAACAGAUAUCAACCUCUGUUUGGGGCCAGAAGAAUAAGCGCUGAUCAAAGCUGCUUCAUGUUGAGCUGCCCCCAGUUCCCGAUGUUCCCUCCAGAUCGGACAGGAUUCUGCACCCGGCUUUCUAUGUUGAUAUUGAACAACUUCAUAUCAUUUUUGCGCAUAUUGUGGUACCAGGGUAGAGAGCAACCCUGCUUUCUGGAGCCAUCUCGAAUCUCGCUAUACAAAAUAUUCUUGGGGAUAUGGUUUCCUCCUAUUGUCUUGACAUGGCCGAUCCAGGAUGACAUGACCAAGUGAUGGUGAAACUACUCAGGUACUGGAGAGC